CGCACCACGAGGCGCUGUCU
RNAcentral lists this small RNA (20 nucleotides) under Arabidopsis thaliana (thale cress). RNAcentral's name for it is "Ath_wt_20012". Lineage: Eukaryota; Viridiplantae; Streptophyta; Magnoliopsida; Brassicales; Brassicaceae. The record is from RNAcentral.